AGUGAACGCUAGCGGUGCGCCUAACACAUGCAAGUCGAGUGGGUUUAGACCCACGGCAAACGGCUGCGUAACACGUUGGAACCUGCCCCGGACUCAGAGAUAUCCCUCCGAAAGGAGGAGUAAUACCGGAUGGUCCCGCAAGGGUAAAGCUUUUGCGGUCCGGGAGGGGCCUGCGGCCUAUCAGAUAGUUGGUGGGGUAACGGCCUACCAAGUCGAUGACGGGUAGCUGGUCUGAGAGGACGACCAGCCAGUAUGGAACUGCGACACGGUCCAUACUCCUACGGGAGGCAGCAGUGGGGAAUAUUGGACAAUGGGCGCAAGCCUGAUCCAGCAAUGCCGCGUGUGUGAAGAAGGUCUUCGGAUCGUAAAGCACUUUCGACGGGGACGAUGAUGACGGUACCCGUAGAAGAAGCCCCGGCUAACUUCGUGCCAGCAGCCGCGGUAA
RNAcentral lists this ribosomal RNA (445 nucleotides) under uncultured bacterium. Its description in RNAcentral is "partial 16S ribosomal RNA". It matches the Rfam family "Bacterial small subunit ribosomal RNA", at positions 29 to 523 of the family's 1533-position model. The record is from RNAcentral.